GUCAGCAGCCAUAUCACCCUGUAGCCCAAGACUGGUUGCCCACUGAAGCUAAGCAGGGUUGAGCCUGGUCAGUACCUGGAUGGGAGACCUCCUGGGAAAACUAGGUUGCUGCUGGAA
RNAcentral lists this ribosomal RNA (117 nucleotides) under Sinocyclocheilus rhinocerous. The record is from RNAcentral. Lineage: Eukaryota; Metazoa; Chordata; Actinopteri; Cypriniformes; Cyprinidae.